CCUACGGGAGGCAGCAGUGGGGAAUCUUGCGCAAUGGGCGAAAGCCUGACGCAGCCAUGCCGCGUGAAUGAUGAAGGUCUUAGGAUUGUAAAAUUCUUUCACCGGGGACGAUAAUGACGGUACCCGGAGAAGAAGCCCCGGCUAACUUCGUGCCAGCAGCCGCGGUAAUACGAAGGGGGCUAGCGUUGCUCGGAAUUACUGGGCGUAAAGGGAGCGUAGGCGGAUAGUUUAGUCAGAGGUGAAAGCCCAGGGCUCAACCUUGGAAUUGCCUUUGAUACUGGCUAUCUUGAGUGUGGGAGAGGUAUGUGGAACUCCGAGUGUAGAGGUGAAAUUCGUAGAUAUUCGGAAGAACACCAGUGGCGAAGGCGACAUACUGGCCCAUUACUGACGCUGAGGCUCGAAAGCGUGGGGAGCAAACAGGAUUAGAUACCCUGGUAGUCCACGCUGUAAACGAUGAGUGCUAGUUGUCGGCAGGCAUGCCUGUCGGUGACGCNGCUACGCAUAAGCACUCCGCCGUCGGGAGGUACGGUCGCGAAGAAUUAAACUACAAUAGAAGUUAGUACGGCGUGAGACGUCGCCGACGGACGACGACGAGGGAGGUUAGG
Molecule: ribosomal RNA, 605 nt
Filed under: uncultured bacterium
Lineage: Bacteria
Description: bacterial SSU rRNA
Rfam family: Bacterial small subunit ribosomal RNA (bases 1-515)
Source: RNAcentral